RNAcentral lists this ribosomal RNA (101 nucleotides) under Rhizochromulina marina. RNAcentral describes it as "partial Eukaryotic small subunit ribosomal RNA". The record is from RNAcentral. Lineage: Eukaryota; Dictyochophyceae; Rhizochromulinales.
GCGGGGUGGUAACCGAAGAAAACGCCAGCAGAGCAACAGGAGCCAGCAGGCUCGAGAGGAAACUCCCCGAAGUUCGGUUUCGAGAGGGGGGGAAGAGAGCC